This 185-nucleotide ribosomal RNA is filed under the name Fusarium oxysporum. RNAcentral's name for it is "partial 28S ribosomal RNA". It matches the Rfam family "Eukaryotic large subunit ribosomal RNA", at positions 3216 to 3399 of the family's 3401-position model. The record is from RNAcentral. Lineage: Eukaryota; Fungi; Ascomycota; Sordariomycetes; Hypocreales; Nectriaceae.
GCGUCUUAGCAGGCGAUUCUUCCACGGCGCUCGAAGCGCGUCGUGGUAUUUCGCGUAUUGUAAUUUCAACACGAGCGGGGUCAAAUCCUUUGCAGACGACUUAGCUGUGCGAAACGGUCCUGUAAGCAGUAGAGUAGCCUUGUUGUUACGAUCUGCUGAGGGUAAGCCGUCCUUCGCCUCGAUUU